ACCAGCCAUAGCAGAAUUGGCUUGGUUUGCCCUUUAUACCUUUUUUGCUUUCUUCUGACCAGUACUCAUGCUAGGGCCUUCAUGUGGGUCAAAAUUCUCUCCAGGACCCAGGUCAGAUUAACUACUUUUUCUUUUCAAAUAUUUAUCUAUUGCUAUUACAAGCUGUGUCCUAUCACAGCAUGACUAUUAUGUAAUUUAUUCUUCAUCUUCUUCUAUUUUACUGGCAGUUGGCAACCCAUUUAAUUAGAGCAGGUAGUUGUACUGCCCUCUAGUGGAAGUGAAUGCAUUGUCCUGCUCGUUACUCAAGCUGCUCGCUUUGAGCAGCAGUCCCCAACCCCAGGGCCAUGGACCUCUCCGUGAGUCAUUUGGUACCGGGCCGUGAGAGUUGAGGCUCAGGUGUGAAAUUUAUGGUUUUCAGGGUUUUUGGCGGUUUUUAGCAUUAUUUUUUUUUAAUCAUUUUUAUCGUUAACUCGGUUUUCCCGGGACUUUUCCCAUGUCUUAUGAAUAAAUCUUCAUUUUUUUUUUUGGUACCAGUACUGGUUUUAUUUUGUUGUAUUUAUCUGCGACACCUUAAAGGCCGUGAAAAUAUUGUUGGAAAUAAACCGGUUUGUGGCGCAAAAAAAGGUUGGGGACUAAUAAGGCAAAACCAGAUAAUCUUCCACGGCACACCUGAUCAUCUCUCAUAGCACACCUGUGUGCCGCAGCACAGCGGUUGGGGAACACAAUAUUAGGACACAUCUGGCAAACUUUUUGCUAAUCCACAGGUUAGUUAUGUAAUAUUAUGUAAUUUUAGUUAUGUAACACUCCCACAUUCCUCUCUUCACUCUUUUUUUCAUUAAAAAACAAACUCUUGCAAAUUAUAAUUCUCAUGUGCUUUGGGUGCGCUUAGUAGCUCUGUGGGAUUAUUCUGAUUGAUUUGGAUUUUUCUUUAGGUAUUAUUGUAUUCCUUGGUGCGUAUCUACAAAUAUAAAAAACAAACCCUGACUACCUUUUAUUUAUAAAAUAAACAUAACAAACACUUUUUAGUUCUUGUUCUGUUAUGUUUUUUUACCGGCAUGCUAUUCAGAUGAUUAUAUUUUACAUUAUAAAGUUUUAUUUUUAUUAUUCCGUUUAUUGCCUGUUUUCCUGGUAGUUUGUCCUUGAAUUCGCUUAGCGAAGCUUUUGAAAGAGCAUUGAAGGGACAGUGUGUUUACUUAGCUGUUUAC
Molecule: long non-coding RNA, 1205 nt
Organism: Astatotilapia calliptera (eastern happy)
Lineage: Eukaryota; Metazoa; Chordata; Actinopteri; Cichliformes; Cichlidae
Source: Ensembl